RNAcentral lists this ribosomal RNA (427 nucleotides) under uncultured bacterium. RNAcentral's name for it is "partial 16S ribosomal RNA". It matches the Rfam family "Bacterial small subunit ribosomal RNA", at positions 355 to 774 of the family's 1533-position model. The record is from RNAcentral.
UGGGGAAUAUUGCACAAUGGGCGCAAGCCUGAUGCAGCCAUGCCGCGUGUAUGAAGAAGGCCUUCGGGUUGUAAAGUACUUUCAGCGGGGAGGAAGGUGUUGAGGCUAAUAACCUCAGCAAUUGACGUUACCCGCAGAAGAAGCACCGGCUAACUCCGUGCCAGCAGCCGCGGUAAUACGGAGGGUGCAAGCGUUAAUCGGAAUUACUGGGCGUAAAGCGCACGCAGGCGGUCUGUCAAGUCGGAUGUGAAAUCCCCGGGCUCAACCUGGGAACUGCAUUCGAAACUGGCAGGCUAGAGUCUUGUAGAGGGGGGUAGAAUUCCAGGUGUAGCGGUGAAAUGCGUAGAGAUCUGGAGGAAUACCGGUGGCGAAGGCGGCCCCCUGGACAAAGUCUGACGCUCAGGUGCGAAAGCGUGGGGAGCAAACA